RNAcentral lists this ribosomal RNA (254 nucleotides) under uncultured bacterium. RNAcentral's name for it is "partial 16S ribosomal RNA". It matches the Rfam family "Bacterial small subunit ribosomal RNA", at positions 524 to 776 of the family's 1533-position model. The record is from RNAcentral.
UACGUAGGGGCCAAGCGUUGUCCGGAUUUAUUGGGCGUAAAGAGCUCGUAGGCGGUUCGGCAAGUCGAAUGUGAAAUCUCCACGCUCAACGUGGAGGGGUCAUUCGAUACUGCCGUGACUUGAGUACGGUAGGGGAGUGUGGAAUUCCCGGUGUAGCGGUGAAAUGCGCAGAGAUCGGGAGGAACACCCGUAGCGAAGGCGGCACUCUGGGCCGAUACUGGCGCUGAGGAGCGAAAGCGUGGGGAGCGAACAGG